GACAGAGGGUGCAAACGUUGCUCGGAAUUACUGGGCGUAAAGCGCGUGUAGGCGGAUUUGCAAGUCGGAUGUGAAAUCCCUGGGCUCAACCCAGGAACUGCACUCGAAACUGUGAGUCUUGAGUAUCGGAGAGGAAAGCGGAAUUCCUGGUGUAGAGGUGAAAUUCGUAGAUAUCAGGAGGAACACCGGUGGCGAAGGCGGCUUUCUGGACGAUAACUGACGCUGAGACGCGAAAGCGUGGGGAGCAAACAGG
This 253-nucleotide ribosomal RNA is filed under the name uncultured bacterium. RNAcentral describes it as "partial 16S ribosomal RNA". It matches the Rfam family "Bacterial small subunit ribosomal RNA", at positions 524 to 776 of the family's 1533-position model. The record is from RNAcentral. RNAcentral also lists the same sequence under 2 other names.